GACGAACGCUGGCGGCGUGCUUAACACAUGCAAGUCGAACGGAAAGGCCCUGCUUUUGUGGGGUGCUCGAGUGGCGAACGGGUGAGUAACACGUGAGUAACCUGCCCUUGACUUUGGGAUAACUUCAGGAAACUGGGGCUAAUACCGGAUAGGAGCUCCUGCUGCACGGUGGGGGUUGGAAAGUUUCGGCGGUUGGGGCUGGACUCGCGGGUUAUCAGCUUGUUGGUGGGGUAGUGGCUUACGAAGGCUUUGACGGGUAGCCGGCCUGAGAGGGUGACCGGCGACAUUGGGACUGAGAUAGGGAGCAGACUCGUACGGGAGGCAGCAGUGGGGAAUAUUGCACAGUGGGCGGAAGCGUGAUGCAGCAACGCCGCGUGCGGGAUGACGGCCUUCGGGUUGUAAACCGAUUUGGCCUGUAACGAAGCGUGAGUGACGGUAAUGGGUAAAGAAGCACCGGCUAACUACGUG
This 468-nucleotide ribosomal RNA is filed under the name uncultured bacterium. RNAcentral's name for it is "partial 16S ribosomal RNA". It matches the Rfam family "Bacterial small subunit ribosomal RNA", at positions 28 to 507 of the family's 1533-position model. The record is from RNAcentral.